AGUUAGCUCAUUUAACUCACGAUCAAGAUGAUAUGAGUCCAAAUUUAUAUAUAAAAAAUCAUAUUAUAAAUAAGAUGAGUUGAGUUGAGCGAACUAUCUUAUUUUGACAUCUAUAGGGUUUGGGUAUGUAACCCAUAUAAUAAAUGGGUUGGGUCAAACCCACCCGUUAAAAUCUUGAACAGGGUUUGAGUUAUUAUCCACUUUACACUCCUAAAUAGACUCAAGGCA
This 228-nucleotide small RNA is filed under the name Arabidopsis thaliana (thale cress). Its description in RNAcentral is "ATSL287130". The record is from RNAcentral. Lineage: Eukaryota; Viridiplantae; Streptophyta; Magnoliopsida; Brassicales; Brassicaceae.